UCCCGCUCCUGUCUAGUGCGGCUGCAAUUCAAGCCAAGGAUGUUGGAAGACACAAAGAGGGAAGUGCCGACAUACCGGCGGACGCCUUGCCGACCGCGACGUUUUUAUCCCGAUAAAUACAACCUGCUCAUGAAGAACAGGUUGGCCAUUCAUUAUUGCCGAACAUCGUCAAGAUGCAAGAGGGGGAAGAGCCACUUCCUUAUGGCCAGCAGUCGGAUAGCCGUCUAAAGAGCAAGAAACCACCCAGUCUUGUCAUAGCAAUACCCAACCCUGAAGAGAUGAUGCCUCAUGACCCCGCUAAACAGCCCCUUCGGCCAUCUUUGAAGAAAAACACCGGUGGCCAAGCAACCAGCUCUGUGUCCGAGAGUGUCGCCGAAGAUGGAGGCCGGUCAGCCUCAGAAAGAAGGGAAAAGUUUGGAAGACAGACUUCGCUCUCACAAAGUAUUCGCAAGAAUACAGCCCAGUGGUUUGGGAUAGGAGAAGACUGUGAAAGUAAGCAGCAGGUUUGGCAGAGGAAAAGUCUGCGCCACUGCAGCCAACGCUAUGGCAAGCUGAAGCCACAAUUCAGAGAUCCCGACACAGCCACAAACAUCGAACAGAGCCUGGAAUCACCGGUCCCACCCAAGAUGCCUAAGAUUGUGGACCCCCUGGCGCGGGGACGAGCGUUCCGUUACCCAGAAGACAUAGACACUCGCUCCCCCAAGGCUCCCAUCACCCCUGGGGUCACCUCACUCAGCUCCUUUACUAGCCAGCGCUCCGGGUACAGUCGCUUGCCCAAACGUAAGAGGGAGUCUGUUGCCCGCAUGAGCAUCCGUGCAGCAAAUAACCUGCUCAGGGGCCGUAGCGGCUUAGCGGGGUCCCUUACCGGCCGCAACUUUCCCAGGAGGAGCUUUGUCAGGCCCAGCUGGCUGGACGAUGACACUGUGGACUCAGCAGACAUGUCUGGGUCACUCUUUUUUAGCAAGGUCGAUGUCCACGAUGAGUUGUACUCUAUGGCUGAUGAUGUAUUUGAGUCACCACCAAUGUCCGCUGCUUUUGCUCCCAGUGAGCAACCAGACCAGAAAUUCUCAAGCCUUAAGGAUGUAUCUCGAACACCUCGCACACCAACAGCGGCCCAGGAGAAAAGCCAUUCGCGACGUGGCCGUCGCAUCGCUUCCCAAGUGAAGCACUUUGCUUUUGACACCAAAAAGCGUCACUAUGGAAUGGGCGUCGUGGGCAAGUGGCUGAACCGGCACUACCGACGCAGCCUCAGCAGUACCGUCCAGAAGCAGUUGGAUGACUUCCACAGCCAUAGGCCUUACUUUACCUACUGGAUCACCUUUGUCCAUAUUGUAAUCACGUUGCUGUCCUGCUGUACUUAUGGUUUUGCCCCUGUGGGGUUUGCACAACAUUCUAAAACAGACCUAGUGCUGAAGAACAAAGGCAUCUAUGAGAGUGUCAAAUACAUCCAACAACAGAACUUUUGGAUCGGCCCGAGAUCUGAUGACCUAAUUCAUUUGGGGGCCAAGUUUUCUCCAUGUAUCCGUCAGGACAGACAAAUAGUCCAUCUGAUCCAGAAGGCCAAAGAUCUGGAGAAAGAGUCUGGGUGUUGUGUUCAGAAUGACAACUCUGGAUGUGUGCAGACUCUCAGCUCCGACUGCUCUGAGACACUGGCCACUUUCAUCAAAUGGGACAAUGAACUUGUGGAUAUCAGCCGGUCCUCUGGGUCUGUAUGUCACCAGGAUCCCAGAGUAUGUGAAGAGCCUGCUUCUGCAGAGCCUCACACGUGGCCAGAUGACAUCACCCUGUGGCCGGUGUGUACAUAUCCACAAAAAUGGAACCAUACCGGCUACAGACACAUGGAUUGUAACAUCAAGGGUCGACCUUGCUGUAUAGGCACUAAGGGCAGGUGUGAGAUUACAACCAGGGAGUAUUGCUCUUUCAUGCACGGCUACUUCCAUGAGGAUGCCACACUAUGCUCACAGGUCCAUUGUCUGUAUGACGUGUGUGGCCUGCUUCCCUUCCUAAACCCUGAUGUACCUGAUCAGUUCUACCGUUUCUGGUUGUCCCUUUUCCUCCACGCUGGGUUACUACACUGCGUGGUAUCAGUAGUGUUUCAGAUGACCAUAUUGAGAGACCUGGAGAAGCUGGCUGGGUGGGUGCGCAUUUCCAUCAUUUACGUCUUCAGUGGUAUAACUGGAAACCUUGCAUCUUCCCUUUUCCUGCCCUACAGAGCUGAGGGGCCUGCCACUGGUAUCCAUCCUGAGAAAAAAAAAAGUCCCAAGUCUCAAUAUCCACUGUUGCGACGCAUGAAGGCAUGGCCCCUGACCGGGUAGAGCAUUUCAGUGAAGGUGCGGUGGACAGCCAGGACGUGGAUGUGGACCGUCAUGCCGUGAGGCUUGUGGAGGGUCAGGGCAUCCUGAAAGACAACUACAGUGAGCCGAUAAUGAAAGCCACCAGACGUCCUUCCUCGAACCAGCCCAGUGACAGCUCGGGACACAGCGUCAGGAAAUGACGUACCUCAUCCAGCAGGAGAGGGCACUCACCAGACACUGAGAUGAAUGCUGUAAGUGGAUAUGCGGACAAAUGAAUUUUCACUAAUAGUUGAUGUCGAUCAGGGAUGUCCAAUCUUUUACAACUCAGGGUCAUGUACAGAAAGAUUGAAGUGAAAUGCCCCACAUUUAAACAUGUUUAAAAAAAAAUCACAUUUUAAAUGUGUCAUCUAAUAACAGUCAUCUUAUGUUACAGGUUUAUUUUGAAUUCCACUAACUAAUUGUCAAGCUUUCAAUAUCUCAAGGUUUUCUCGUUACCGGGCCAAUUAGAAUAUGCAUCAGGCCACAAGUCGCCCACAAGCUGCGCUUUGGACACCACUGUUCAACCCAAGAUAGACAUUGCUCGGUUACCUUCUCUCUCGAUCUCAAAUACGCUGAUGGCGUCUUCAGGGCUGAGGGAGCGGAACUCGCUGGCCGGCAGCGUGUGUCGACGUCCCUGCGAGACUGGAGAGCGCAUGUGGAGCGGCUUCGGGAACGUCAUGGAGCUCACCACUGACAUGCUUUCAAAACUACUUUCAGAAGUGUAAAGUAAAGAAACCUACGUGGGAACGGCAAAUUAGUUAACUGCCUGAUUGUUUUUUCCCCUUCUUUUUCUCCCGUUUCCUUCUGCUCUGUCGAUCCUGCCGGUAUCGUGCGUAAAGAAGACUGAGCUCCAGCCUUGCGCACCAGGACCUUUUAUAGCCUUCACACAGCGCACCUUAGACCGCGUGGUAAUCCUUAAGUUCCCAGCUGGAUAAGCAAACCUUUUCAACACGUGAGUGAGCUGAAGCUGAACAAUAAUCAUAUUGAGAGGGGGUAAGGAGGGGUUUUUUGUUUUUGCGUGUUGUGACUUAUCCUGGAUCACUUGGUGGUAUGACGAGGAUAUAAGUUCUCUUCGUCAUACCACCAACCCGCGCGCCACAUGUCAACAACAACGUGAAAGGAUUUGGAUCGAAAGCCCUUUGAGCAUUUUGUGUAUCCUUUUAGUGCAGCUUUAUGGUGGCUGUACUGGUAUACCCUUUGAUUUCCAGUGAGACAGUUCAGCGUACGAGAAAAGAUUUGUUUUGGUCUAUAUGUACCCUGCGAAUGAAAAUGAAUGGAUGCAUACAGAUUCAGCACCAUGCAUGUAUAAAGUCGCUCCGGAGUACAAGUCGUAUCAGCCAUAAAAUGCACAAUAGUGAAAAAAACAACAUAUAUAAGUCGCACCGGAGUAUAGGUCGCCUUUUGGGGUAAAUUUACUUGACAAAGUCCAACACCAAAAACAGACAUGAACCAGCUACAACAAGCUAAUGAUACGGUAUGCUAAGCCAAUGGCCCAAAAUAGUUGUGGUAUACAAAUUUUAAUGCAGUCAGUUUCUUUCCCCCGAAGUUUAUAUUGGCUCUUCCCUAGAUUAAUUUGAAAACAUUAUUUUGUGUACAGUAGUCAGACACCUUUAAGACAAAUUAUAGCGCAGAAUGAAAGUAUCCAGACCCAUGUUAGUUGUUGUCUUGCUUUAUUUUAACCCUUUUAUACUGUAGCUCACUUACACUUUUUGUUGAUGCUUUCAUACAACAAUCUCUCUCUCUCUCACUAGUGUUGGCUCGUGAGAGAACGAUUCGUUCAAAAGAACGGAUUUCUUUCAGUGAACGAGAGUGAACGAAUCUUCCUUAAGUGAUUCGUUCUUUGUUCAGUUUAUAUGACUUCAACCAGUAGGUGUCAGUAAUACCCAUUGAAGCUGGUGCCACCUCGCCGUAAAACUAAACGAAGAAGAAAAUGACGUAACUUCCUGUUUACAAACGAGUCGUGAAUUGCAUUUCCCGUUCACCAACGAACGAAUCAGUGACUUUCCCGUUCGCGAAAGAGCCAAUGGGUCAACUGCCUUCGUUCCUGUGCAUCAACGGAUCAGUCAGUGAACGUGUUGCGUCUCCCUCCUGGCGUGAACUAUGUAAGACAGAAUGUAGAUUUGCGAUUUGUCAAGGAAAGAAAGAACCACUCAAUGAAACACCACUUCUUUUAUGCGCGUUUUCUCCAAGCUAACGGCUAAUUUUAUUGCAUGAAGGGAUGGGCCGUUAUGCAACAACGGGGAGAUUAUGCUUCUCUUUGGGUAAUCUCGAUUUUAUAACACUAAUAGUUUUUAAAUAACGUGUAUGCAUAUAUACGCCUAAAUAUUGUCAUCCAAUAUAACCACUGCUAUUUCACAUUGGAUUGAUGGUUUGAAAUUUACUUUUAAUAUUAUUAUUACUUUUAAUAAACAUUUAUGUUAAAACUUG
Syngnathus typhle (broad-nosed pipefish) is the source of this 4760-nucleotide RNA transcript. It is a transcript of the gene named inactive rhomboid protein 2-like, with no coding region annotated. The transcript is spliced from 20 exons. The record is from RefSeq and is a predicted model, not a curated record. Lineage: Eukaryota; Metazoa; Chordata; Actinopteri; Syngnathiformes; Syngnathidae.